GAUGAACGCUAGCGGCAGGCCUAAUACAUGCAAGCUGAACGGCAAGAUUUGUAGCAAUACGAGUCCUAGAGUAGCGUAAGGGUGCGUAACACGUAUGCAAUCUACCCGCAACAGGAGGAUAGCUCUUCGAAAGAGGAAUUAAGACUCCAUAAUACCAUUUGAGGGCAUCUGAGGAUGGUUAAACUACAAGGGGUUGUGGAUGAGCAUGCGUCUGAUUAGUUAGUUGGCGGGGUAACGGCCCACCAAGACGAUGAUCAGUAGGGGAACUGAGAGGUUGGUCCCCCACACUGGCACUGAGAUACGGGCCAGACUCCUACGGGAGGCAGCAGUAGGGAAUAUUGGACAAUGGGUGAGAGCCUGAUCCAGCCAUGCCGCGUGAGUGAAGAAGGCC
Molecule: ribosomal RNA, 391 nt
Filed under: uncultured bacterium
Lineage: Bacteria
Description: bacterial SSU rRNA
Rfam family: Bacterial small subunit ribosomal RNA
Source: RNAcentral